Molecule: long non-coding RNA, 23244 nt
Filed under: Lactuca sativa (garden lettuce)
Lineage: Eukaryota; Viridiplantae; Streptophyta; Magnoliopsida; Asterales; Asteraceae
Description: long non-coding RNA (LSAT_LNC008661)
Source: RNAcentral
UUAGCCCUAGCCCGGCCGAGCAUUUACGUUUGUCAUCACUAAACCAUCGAGGGGCCCAAAGAUAUCGCUUUUAUCCUACUUUGGAUAAAAGGAACGGAUAAACUUUGAUACAAUGCUUGCUUGCACUCACUCACCGAAUCACACACAACAAUAUGUUUUAUAACACCAAGUUACUAGUGCAUUUACAUAUUAUCAAUGUGCAACCAAUUUGCAAGAUACAACUCACACAUCUCGGUUUCAAGAAUAUAAGAUGUUAUCGUCUCACCAAUCACUCGUGAUACAAUUCAUGGAGUGAUCCAAGUGAGCGUGGGUUUAAUCCAAUGCUCAAAUCACAUUCAUAAGCACUCAUGAACGUUGCAGCAAACAUUUGCUUAUGUCUAAUACUCUUUUAGACAAUCCACACACCAAUUCACGACAGUCUUCAUUCAUAUCUACUUCCAACAUAUAAACGACUAUGGCCCGUUUGAAUAAUUCGAUUAUUCUUAAUAAACUCAAUUAUUCUGGAAGUCAAAACAUGCAAAUGUGAAACACAAGAAUAAUACUAAUCCCAUAUGGCCUCAACCCUUUGAUCAUAUAUAACACUCCUUUUAUUUAUCACCAUAUCGAUUACUCAUUAUUUGUCGUUUCGGGUAAUCAACUUCUUACUUGAAUUACUACACUUGUCCCAUGCGGCAAGCAUGCACACAAUAUUUACCUAUGGUUCUUACUUUGUGAAAUAGACCAAAUUGAGCACAUUUCCAAUCAUUCUCAUUUCAAAACUUGAAAUCCUUUUUCCAUAAGUGAAAGAAUAUCAAAUUCUUGCUACUUAUAGAAUAUUCUAGAUUCUAACAUUUUAUGCAAUGAUGUCUUUUGUAAUGUCACUGCACCAAAGUCACAAAGACUAUUGCCAAUGAUAUUACAAAGUCUUCUAUCGGAGAUUGUUACAAAAUAAUUCCAUAGACGUGAUGUCUCUCACUCAAAGUACAUUCUUUGAACAUCGUUUUGCAUAAAAGUUUCUAAUCUAGUCAUAGAUUUUCAAUUUUCAAUUCCCAAUAUGGACACAUUUCCAUAUUUUCCAUAUGACAACUUAUGCUUAAUAGAAUCUUAUCUAUUCAUAAUAAGUUGAUAUGGUCCAUUCAAUACCAUGCUUCCAACUACUCACAAGCAACCAAUCCUCGUUGAACUUUGGAUUGUCCUUUGAUAGUUGUUUGAUUAUUUUAGUCAAAACCGAUUCUAGUCCCUUUUCCCUCUAAAUGCGCUAGACAUUUGUAAAAUUUUAGAAUGGUCAAACAUUAAAUCAUUUGCAAUCGAUCCUAUACCUGAAGCGUAUGGGACACGACGCACAAUGUUUUAUUUGCUAUGUUCUCAAAAUUUGAAUUGUGAAGAGGAAUAUCGUAAUCAUAAUCGAAAUUUUAAGAACACACUAUGUACCUUGGACUAAAUUUAUUAACAUUCCACAACCUAAGCCUUUAGAUUUGAAAUGAAGCAUAAUAUUCUCUCCCUUAAUCAUAGCAAAACAAUUAUUCCAUCCUUUCAACUUUGCAAAGAAUGAAUCUUGUUUUCUAUAAUUAAUAUUGCCAACUUGCAAUACUUUUCUUGAUAAUCAUACAAUCAUAACAUUUAUGCUCCUACUAUCAUGAUGAUUAUUAUAAACAUAACACUUAUGCUCCCAUUAGCUUCGACAUUUAUUCAGAAACAGCUUAACUUUCAGAAAAACAAUACUUAUUGAAUUUCUUAAGUUCAUGUUUCUAAUACUUAGUGCUUUGAUAAUCUUUUAUCAAGGCUUCUUGAACUUUUACACCUUUGCGAUAGAUAGUUCAUAUGUGUGUCUAAACAAUUAAGACUAAUUGCCAAACCUCACAAUUCAAAUUAUGGAAAGGGAUAUCGUAACCAUAAUCGAAUUCGAGAAUGCAAUUAUCUUCUUAAAAUCCUUCUUAGUGAAAGCAUUUCCUCACAAUCAUUUUCAUGAAGGAGGAAAUCUUAUGACACUUAGAUUUAAACGGUGUAUGUGUUCCUAUCCAUGUGAAGUUGUUAAAACAAAAGUUUACAACAAAUUCAAACUCAUAUGGACCGAACUUUCUUAAUCUUGAUUUCUUGCCUUAUGGUAGCACAGCUGCCCACCAUGUCUUCCAAGUAGUUAAGCAGCUCACCCUUUCCUAUCAAUGUACCUUUCAUUGAUUAAGGUGCUUUGCCUUUUAUGCGUUCAAAAUGAGAACUCAUAGAACUCACAUGCAUAAUUAACUCGAUUGGAUUGGCACAGAAACAAAAUAAUGUCAACACGAUAGGUUGUAAACCUCAACUCGUGUGCUAGUGAUGAUCGAUAAGGUUUAUUUGAUUUGUUCUUGAAACCUUUCAAGACCAUUAAGACUCCCACUGACUCCUUGACAUAUAAGAUUCUCUUGUCAAUAAACAUUUCUUGACAAACAAAUAUUCAAGAGUUAGUGUAGCUUUUAUCAAAACACUUCAUAAAUUGGUCCUAGUUGGUCUUUGUCUUAUCCAAGACAUCACAACUUUCCACAUUUGAUGAAUGUUAUAAACCUUCUUAAUACUUUUCACUCAAUGUCACAAUCUUAACUCUAAGACUUGUUUUGGAACGAAGUAUGAUUGACUUCUUGAUUUAACCAUUUCUUCAAUUCUUGAUUCCUCUUCUUAGACAUACAAUUGUACUAAGACUCACUUAGAGGAUCAAUUGAGAUAUGGUUCUUAAUCAUUAAGACCUAUCAUAAAGCAUAAAAGGUACUCUCCCUUCUUCUUAGAAUGGAGAAACUUUUAUCUUUCUGCCUACUUGAUUCUUCUUAUUCGUUCUGCUAUUGAUUUAAACUUUUUCAAUCAAUUCAGAAUUACACUUAAUCUUGUAAGUAUAAUCAUAUUUACUAAACCUUUAGUAAAUCAUGACGAAUAUCUUUGUUACUCUUAUGGUGGACUUGAUCAACACGCAACUUUGUGUACUCGAUCUCCUAGUCCUUCACUUGACACUUUGUCAAUGAAUUAGUCUAAUUUCCAAAUAUGAAAUUUCUCAUUCAUCGUGCAACCAAGUUGCAUGAUUCCAAGUUUCUGUCCAAUUGAAACUUGGGCGAUGAGAAACUCUCCCUAUUUGGUAAAUUCUCGACUUUCCAUAAAUAACAUAAUAAGAACCAAAUCCAUUAUUGCUAAUAAUAGAAACAUUCAAACAUCAAUUUUUCAUAUACGCCAUUGCAAGGAUAAAUAAAUAAUAUAAAAUCAAAAUUUAUUUUAUUGCGGAAAAAAUUUGUCCUUACAAUGCAAUUCAUUGAAAAACUAUGCUAAUACAUCUUUCUUAGCAAUCUAAUUCUAACUCUAAGUAGUAGCUCAAGAAUCUAAUCUUCGAGAAAUGCGAUCGAAAUCCAUUCCUUCACGGUUAGAUUCUGCUCACUUCUUCCCUUAAGCUUCCUUUCUUUUCUUCGAUCCUACAAAACAUCAAUUGUAAUCUUAUCACAUUAUGUAUUAAGAAUCUAGAAUAGAAGCUUAAAAGAGUUAGUUAAUGGAUUUUACCUAUAUUAGAGCCAUACGUUUCGACUCUCCCAUCUCUUAGAUCUCUUAGGUAAAUGGGGCAGCUUCGUCUCCAAUGCCCUUUCUCUUGGCAAUAAAAGCAAAUUGACUCUUUUGGAACAUGACAUGGAACUACUUCAGACAUUGCCUUUCUCUUAUGAUCAAACUUUUCGAUCAUAGCAUGUCUUUCGUUGCCAUUGUCUAUAUCCAUAGAGGUCUUGAAGGCAGAUUCACCAAUCAACUUUGCUUUUCUAUUGCGCCAAACCAUUGCUGAUUCAGCAGCAAUAAGCAUAUAGGUGAGAUCUAUAAGGGUCACGUCGCGGUUCAUCAUAUAGUACUCUCUUACGAACUCACUAUAUGAGUUAGGAAGUGACUGAAGAACCCAAUCAACAGCCAUUUCCUCACAGACAACGGAUCCCAACAUUCUUAACCUAUCAAUGUGUGACUUCAUCCCUAGGACGUGUGCACACACCGGCUUUCCUUCUUUAUGUUUACUUGCCAAAAGGGCUUGAGUGAUCUUGAACUUUUCAAGCCUUUGAACUUGUGGGUUAGGGAGAAUAAUUGGAGGAGGAGGAGGAAGUGAAGUAUGAUCUCUUGUUCCUCGAUCGAAUCGUGGAAUAUCAUCUUCAUGUGGAAUGCUUGUUCCACGGGAUUUGGGAAGACCAUAGUUGUCGAACUUUGACAUCUACAAAACGGGAGAAAACGAAUUCAAGUUAGUUGAUAGAUUGAGUCCUUAGUAAAUCACCCAAAUGAGAUACUAAGGCUAGGACCCAACACAAUAUUCUACAACUCGGGAGAGGGAUGCCGUAACCCAAAUUGCAGAAUAUUUGAAGGUAAGUGAAUGACGAUUCACUAAUUUCCACCACGAAAAACGAAAAAGAAAUUUAAGUUUUAAAUCUAUGAAAACUCCUAGAUCCUUUGAGAUUCAUUGAACAUUUCAAUGGCAUGUUUAAAUCUCGAUAUGCCCCUCUUGUUUGUGACUGGGAUGCCGAGGAUCACAAAGCGGGUGUGAAUAACCAUGCAAACUUACAUGGUGCCCUCACAUGUUACAGUCACCUAUUCGAUGUGCCGGUAAACCACACACGCUCCACCGGACUAUGACAAACAUUGAGUCACGCUUUGCUACCUUCUCUUAGAACUAUUUAGUGGGCCGGUAAACCACACACGCUCCACUAACGUCUUUGCAAGGGCACAAAGUGUAAUUUCAUGGAAUUGCAUCAAUUCAGUUUUGCCUAAGUAACUAAGAUUGGGAAUUUUAUGAAAAAAUUUAGUUACUUUUAUAUUAAUAAUGGAGGGUUUCGUCCUAUCCUACCCGUUCGGCUAACGACCCUCCACUAGUCAAGAGUGCGGUGGGUAAGAGUGGAUACCCAUUCAAUCGCCAUUUUAUAGGCAAUUUCCUUAAACACCCCUUAUAGACCAGCUUCGUGAAUGAGGCCUACUAAUGGUAAGACUGACUUUUACUCAUACAUAUAUAUAAUGUUAAACUUUUAAUGUUAUAUAUAGUAUAGGGUGUAUUUUAUACUUUUAAAAUAUUAGGUGGUCAAAUUUAACAAUUAUACCUUUAAUUCAAUUAAAUUGUAAACCAAAACUUUAUGGAUUUAUUAAGCCUCUUUUAAUUAUACACCUUAAUUAAUUAAUAAAACCAUAAGGGUGAGAUUUGAACUUUUUCAAAACUAUACUAGAGUUUUAGAAUUUAACAUUCCUAAUUAAACUUUUAAUCAACUUUUAAAUUCCAAAACUUGAGGGCAAGUUUUGAAACGUUUCAAAACAUUAGGUUUAGAAUUUAAAUAUACAUCAAAUUAAAUUAUUAAUCAAAAUUUAAAUUCCAAAACUUGAGGGCAAGUUUUGAAACCUUUUCCAAAACAUUAGGGUUUUAACUAUUUAAAUUUCUAAACAACUUUUGGGUUCAGAUUUAAACUAUAAAACCUAAGGAGAAAAUAUGAAACUUCUCAUAACAACAAGGAUCAAAUAACAAAUAAUCUAAAUUAAUAAUUAAUCACAUGAUUAUCCAUAUUUGAUUUAUUUAAUGAUUUCUUGCAAAACAAUUUAUCAAUUUAGUCAAAAUAAUUAAUCAAUUAUCACAUAAGGAAACAAUUAUCUUAUUAAUUGAUAAAUAUCUUCAAUUAGAUCAAGAAUAUAGUCAAAUAUAUCAUAAAAUCGGAUUUAUAUUGAUCUAAUAUGAUAAGGUAACUAUCCCAAAGCAAAAACAGCAAGAAAUCCCGAGAUAUGCUCCAUCUGACGAGUUGACUCGUCGAGUCAAGCUUGGACUCGUCGAGUCUGCAUGGACUCGGCGAGUUCAGCUAUGGACUCGGCGAGUCCAGCCUCCAGAAACCCAAAAAACGAAUUUUCCAGUUAUACAAUGCAUCAAUACAAUUGAAACCAAUCUAGGCUCUGAUACCACUGAUGGGUUUUGGUCAUAAGACAUCCUAUGUGCUCAUACAAACCCUAAUGCUUGGAUCUAGGUUUCUCUAUUGUACAUGCUUUGAAUCCAAGACUAUAAACCCUAAUUCUAGCAUAUGGAAAUCAAUAUUAACAUAUAAUUAGGUUUAUAAUAUUACCUUGAUUGUUAUGUAGCAAUAACAAUCCCAAUUCCUCCUUGAAUUGACUUUGGAAGGCUUAGAGUCACAAGUGUCACUCCUCUAAUGGUUCACAAACACCAUAAGCAAGAGGAUGAAGAGGAGAGAGGAUGGAGGCUGCCCAAAACGUGUUCUAACCCUAGAAAAGAAGUUCCCCACGUUUUUGAGCCUUAAGGGUUCUAUAUAUAGUGAGGCUAUUAGGGUUAUCUAACAAGGAAACCCUAAUUUGGUUGCUUAAGCCCUAAGCAACCCAUGGAGCCCUUUCCUUAAGGCCUUGGACGAUUUCAUAUGGGCUUCCCCCAUAGAAUUCGUCCACCUUAUAAUAAAAGGCAAUCCAUGGCCCAAAUUGCAAUUAUCUUAUAAUUACAAUUCCAGUCCCUUAAGUUUAAUUAAUCUCUUUUAGUCACAAAACUAAUUACCAAUUAAUUAUUGACUAAUAUUAAUUAAACAAUAUGAUUUCUCCUUUAAUAUAUUAUUCCCAUAAUAUAUUAAUAAAUCAUAUUUAAUCCUUUCUCUCCAUAAUUCAUCCUAUCAAGUUGCUUUGGUGAAGGUAACCCAAAAGGACCAUGCACCAUCGGGUCAAGUACAUACCAAAAUAGUUAUGGACUUAGACACUAAUCCAACAGAAGAGUCAAUAUACAAUACAUUAUUUCCUUGAUUAUCUACAACAGAUACAGUUUCAUACACGCCAUUACAAGGUAAUGCUUUAAAAUAAUGAACAUUAUUAAAGAAAGCAUCAGUACUCUCAUUAUUAUUAUCAAAAUAAAAAGUAAAACCUUGUUUAUACAUUGCAUGAAAGGAAAUAAUGUUUUUUUCCAUUUCUGGCAAAUAAUAACACUUAUUCAAAUCUAAUGUAAACCCACUAUUUAGCGAUAAUGUAUAAACUCCAAUCUUGGUGACAGGAGAAGCUUUCCUGUUUCCCAUGAUCAAGUUUAUUCUUCCUUGCUCCACAUUCUCACUUUUUCUUAGUCCCUGCAAAUCAGAACAUAUAUGAAUACCACAACCGACAUCAAGGACCAAUGAGUUAGAAUGGGGUGAGUUAUUAGAUAAGAUAGUGUAAAUACCUACAUUGUUGAGUUUAACUUUCCCAUCCUUCACAUCUUGCUGGUACUUUGGGCAGUUCCGCUUCCAAUGUGCCUUUUCUUGUCAAUAGAAGCAUUCACCCUCUUUUGGGUCAGAAAAAGAAGUGAUGAGGCCUUUCUUGGUUCCGCUUAAAGAAGAGCCAUUAAGGGUCCUAGCCUUGGUACCCUUCGAAGAACUCUUUCUCUUCUUCCAUCAUCCUGUCUCGAUUGCCAAGACAGGGGCGGAGUUGGUAGGAGUAGGAGUAGUAACAACUGCCUUACCCUUAAGACCACUUUCCGCGGUCUUUAAGAGUCCUUGAAGUUUGCUGAGAGUGACCUCUUCCUUGUUCAUGUGAUAUGUCAUGCGGAAUUGAUCAUAACACGAUGGUAAGGAGUUUAAAAUGAUAUCUAUUGCAAGCUUCUCGGGGAAGUUCACAUUGAGCAUCAGCAACUGGUCCACAAAUCUUUGCAUUUUCUGCAUGUGGCCCGUGAUGGGUUCACCAUCCUUCAUUCAGGUUGUUAUCUAGGAGGAGAUUAUUUCAUAUCGCUCUUGAUGAGCACUUUGAUGAUAACGGUCGAUCAAGUCCUGGUGCAUCUCAAAAGGAUAAUAGUCCUCAUAUGACUUUUGGAGCUCGGCUGUCAUGGUGGCCAUUAUGAUGCAUGCUACUUUUGUAGCAUCUCUUUCAUGUACCUCAUAUUCAGCAAGCUCUUCAGGAGUUGCAGUUGGUUCGGGUACCUUUAGCUCCUUGUCGAGAACAUAUUCUUUGUUCUCAGACCGAGUGACCAUCCUGAUGUUCCUGAUCCAAUCAGUAAAGUUGCAUCGAUCGAAGAUGACUCUCCCACAAAGAUUCAUGAGAGAGAAAGAGCUAUUAGGUUUAGAGCCAGAAGCAUUGUUAUUGGAAGACAUCUAAAAAGAAGAGUGAAUAGAUUAGAUUAGAUUUAGAGAUAGUCCCUAAUAAAAACCCAAAUGUAGUAUUAAGGCUAGGACACAACACAAUAUUUUAUAACUUAGAAGAGGGAUGCCGUAAUCUAAGCUAUAAGAUAUUUGAAGGUAGGUGAAUGACGAUUCACCAAUUUCCACUAUGAAAAACAAAAUUUUUAAUUAGGUUUUUAAGUGGUUUAGAAACUCCUAGAUUGUUUGAGAUUCAUUGAACUUUCUUCAAUGGCAUGUUUCAAUCUCGAGUGUGCCCUUCAAGUUUUGUGACUAGGUUGCUGAGGAUCACAAAACAAGGUGUGAAGCAACCAUGCAAAUUACUUGGUACCCUCAAUGUAUUACCCCUCAAUCGAUGUGCCGGUUAACCACACACGCUCCAUUGAUACUAUGAUAAACAUUAAGUGACCCUGUACCUACCUUUUUAAGUUCAACUUAAUGUGCCGGUUAACCACACACGCUCCACUAAUGAAUUAAACAAAGCGUAACUUUGUAAUUUGAUGGAUUAGCACCGUAUUCACAUUUUCCUAAAAUUACUAAGAUUGGGAAUUCAAUAAAGUUUAGUUAUUGUAGUAUUAUCAUUAUACUUUUAAUGAGAAUUCAUAAGUCCUUGUCCUACCCGUUCGGCUAACGAUCCUCCACCGAUCAAGGAAGCGGUGGGUGAGAGUGGACACCCAUUAAGUUGCCAUUUUAUAGGCAACAACCUUAUACUCCCCUUAUAGACCGGCUUUGUAAAUAAGGCGUACUAGCGGUAAGACGACCNUCAACUAGAAAAUCGAUCUUUAUAGGUGGGACACCAAAAACGAAAACAGAAAAAGCUGUCGAAACAGAAUAAAAAAGAGACUCCUCAAUGGGCGGAGACUCAGCCUCAGGAAAUUCUGUUAGUGAGAGACGACCUGGCAACCUUGCUAUGUGAUUACCGCCUUUAGAAAGCAAUUAAGACAGAAUGGAAUGAAUGACUGAACGAGCAGCCGGGCAUGGGCAUGGGAAAGAAGUUCCCUUAUAUAAUGGAAUCAUUGAACUAGGCUAGGAAGAAAGAUCAAUCAAUUCUAUAUGCGCUUUUGCCAUCCGAUCCGAUGACCCCCUUGAUGCCCUUUAUGUUCUCUCUCUUGCCAUAGAGUAAGUGUGCCGUUACGGGCCCCUAUCUAGGUGCUUUGUCUCCGACUCACCGGAAAAGGAAGAAAGAAGGUUUAGCGACUCCGCCCUACACUCCUAUUGGCUAGUGAGCUAGUUCCCCUUAUCUAGAAAUUACAAACAAUUCCUAUGAUCAUGUAAUCUUUAUAAUUUCAAGAACAUGAAUAUUAACAUUUCAAGAAUCAUAAAUUACUCAUAGAUCUUAUAAUUUUUGAUUAUACCCAUUGGAAAUGGAUUAGCAUAAACAUUACACCAUCUAAAACAAGUUUUAUAACACCAAAACAGUUUAGGGUAAUGUUUGUAGUUCAUUUCCACCAGCAAAAGUCGAAAAUCUACAUUCUGAGGCUCCUACUCGUUGAGUGCACAAACCUACUCGGCGAGUAGGAUGAAGAUACACAUGAAAUCGACGAGUCCCCCCAUGGACUCGACGAGUUCAUCAGGCAGACAGCAAGAUUUCGACUUUUUCCAAUAUUUUGCAUCAAGUAUCAAACAAACAAGCCUAGGCUCUGAUACCACUGAUGGGUUUUGAGCAUUCUAACACUUCCUAAGUGUACAUGCAACCCUAAUAAACCUUGGAUCUAUGUUUGUCUAAGAUACAUGCAAAUAAUUAUUUUUCCAAGGUCCUUAUCCUAUCUAGCAUGACAUGGGGAACAUGAAUCAAAUAAAGCUAGUAGAAUUACUUACCUUGUAGUUGUAGUUGAUUGCUUGGAGUUUUAGAGCCUAGCACCAAUACUGUGGAUGCGUCAAAUGGAAAUAACAAAUCACCACAAACUUGGAACUUUGAGAGAAUUGUCACAACUAUCUUGAAAUCGGCCCUCUUGCUUUACUCACCUCAACUAGUAUGAUUUCAAGAACCAAGGCCUUCUUUAUAUAGUGUGGUGGAUUAGGGUUACAUCCAUGUAAAAACUAAUACCCAUGUCUCUUCAUUUCAAUGAGAUCCAUGAGUUAAAGCUCCAUGGAGUAUCCAUGGACUUUCCAUGCAAGCCUAGCCCAUUCCAAAUAAGCAUUAUCCCACACUAUAUAAAUAUAGGAGCCUAUAUUUAAUUAUUAAUACUUUUGAUCUCUAAAUUAAUCCUAGAUUAAUUAUAGAUCAAUACUAAUUAAAUAAUGUGAUCUUAUAUUAAUAUAUUAGAACUUAUAAUAUAUUAAUAACUCAUAACUUAUACUAUUCUCCAAAGAUUAUCCAUAAAUUGUUCGGGUGAAUUGCAACCCAAAUGGACCAUGCCGGGUCGGGUCAAGUACAUACCAAAUAUAGUUAUGGACUUAGACACUAUAUCCAACAAAUAGAAGUAAGAACAAAGGAAAACCGUGCUUCUUACAUCUGAAGUGUUUGAGUGUCUUUUCGUCACUCUAUAACUAGUAAAUCGACUCAACCUAGUGAGUUAAUAUUUACAUUACUCACAUUAGGUUUUGAAAUUAUCAUCUUUUCCUGUCAUGGCUAAUAACAAUAAACCGAAUCACGAAAUCUCAAUCGAUAGUGAUUACUUCUCAAAUUCAUAAGUCUAUUUUAUGUAGACUCUAUUAUGAAUUACUUUCAAAUCUUUUCGAAUGUUGGAACAUGAUAUCUAUCAACUAAAGAAAACUCAGUUUGGAUAACACUCGUCUGGUAACCAUUCUAGAAACUUACUUCUUAUUUUUACUAGGACUAUAUCAUAGGGAUGUAGGUUGAACCUUUGAGAUCAGUAUAAAGAAACAGAAAAUUUGUAUUCAUAUAAAUGAUUACAAUACAUCUAGAGCCAACUAUUGUUAUUCACAAGCUCGUGUUCUCAUCUUACAACAGAAUCAUGCCUCCAAAGAAAUGCAACCAACCCACUGGCAAAAAACCAAUCCUUCAGAUAGAUGCGGCUACGAUUCAAGUCGCAGUCAUAACACCCGUAACAACUGUCGUGGCCCAUCUUAAUUCUAAUAACACAAGUGACAGUGAAAAUUUUAUCGGCAAUUUUGAUCGUUGUGAUAACCAAUUUCAGCAACGAGUUCGUACUUUUAAGGACACUCCGAACCUCAAACCUAAUAUCCUGAAACGAAAGUUCAAGAACAUGAAAGGGAGUUGUUCAACUCAAGAACCUAGUAGAGGGCAACAAAAUGGAGCAGUCAAUACCCCCAUCAGCCGUGUUAUUCCAGCACCGACCACACCAUACUUAGGAAACCUCCCAUACUAUAGGAAGUGCAACUACCAUCAUUACGGAGUCUGCCAAGUGCUGCAUUGCAAUAGAUGCAAGAUGAAGGGGCACACAGCCCACAUCUGUAAGACUCCGGUCAAGUUCAUCACUUCAACUACCAAUGUUGGAAUCAAUCCAAUAUGCCAUUUAUGUGGCAAAAUAGGACAUUUCAAGAGGGAUUGUCCAACAGAAAAGUGUAACGGGGGAGCAAGAGGAGUUUGACCCCAGAUUGGGGGGAAGCAUCAAAGAACCCUGCUAUAUUUUUGGUACGCUUCUGAAGCCCAAUAAUUAAUGAUAUUUAUAAAUUACUCUCUCGUUCAAAACAAAUCAUAACACUUAUAUAAAACUCAAAACCCUAACUGGUAAGCUAUGAUGGCUUAGUGUAUAUAUUAGGGUAACUUAUAAUUAAGAUUUGUAGACUUAGAGUCAGUGAUCCCGCCUCAUUUCCUGUUCCUUGUUUGGUUGUGGAUUUAGCACAGGAUAGCUCAGUCAACUGUCUUACCAAUCUUAAUUAUACAUGACUUGUGUACACCAAGCGGUUAUAGAGAGACCUAGCAGGGAUAAUUUCAUGAAAGUUCAUGAUUUCAAUUUGCCAGAACCCUAGUAUUAUUAGUACUCCCCAUGAUCAAAUCAAAAAGGGGUUCGUAUCUAUAUAACAUAAUAAAACUGAAUGCAUUAAAAACUUAUUUACUUAGGAUUCUUCAUCAUCCUAGUAAUCAUCUCUUCCAGAAUGACUUAAUAUCAAGUUCAUCGAGAAGUUCCGACAUUCUCAUCCGACAUGGUUCGGCUUGGUCCUUACCAUGUAAAAAUUCUCAUGCUGUGUAAAAAAACUUUUUGCUUAAUUAGCCGUUAAAUGAAAUUCCUCCGAUCCAUAACGCAAACCCUUAUAUCAUCUCUCACCUGAAGACCUCAGAAGUACCUAGGGAAGGGGUACCAUACCUUCGAGCCUGCUUAAUAGAUAAAAAACUUGAAGCGAAAACCACCAAAGAAGUCUCAGAAGUCAGUAACUACCCGUAGUAUACCCAAUAGAUCUCCGAGGAAGACCACUUUUUAAUGCAGGUCAAGUUCAAGAAUAGAGUAUAAGAACUCAUUAGAUUAAUCUAUCGCUGCUAAACGUAUAUGCAAGAGUGGCAUAUAAUUUAGAGUCAACAAGAUUUAGGUUGUGUGCUUCCGCCCUAUUUCCUGUUCCUUUUCUAGUUGUGGAUUUGGGGUAGAGGGACCCACCCAAACAUUUUGUUGACCUAGGUUAUAUACGACUCAUAUACACGAGGUGAUGAUAGAUGAGCCAAGUAUGAGUAUUAUCGUGAACUUCAGAACAAAAGGCUACAACCCUACUACAACAAACGGAGACACCUGAGUAGAAGUGGUAGUGGAUUACAAUGGACCUCAUAAUUAAAUUAUUCAAGACAACAGGUGGACUUAAUGUCAUUUUGGAUGAUUGUCGACCGAUUAGCCAAGUCUGCGCACUUCCUACAAUUUUUAAGAAAUAGACAAAUAGAGAAGAUAACUAGAUCGUGUGUUAGAGAGAUUAGUCAAGCUGCACGGUGUUAUAAUAUCUGUUAUCUCUGUUGAGCUAAUAGAAUCAUCUUCCAGUUCAAGGAGUCACUUCAGAAAUCUCUGGGAACUAGGCUAGUCGUGAGCAUACCCUACCAUCCUUAAACCAUUAGACAGAAUGAGAGAACAAUUCUAUUAUUAUCAGUUAUACUAAGAGCAUAUAUGAUCGACUUUGGUAAAGCAUGAGAUACCUAUUUACCAAUUAGUCGAGUCCUUGAUCAUGCUAGCAUUUAAAGUUGCUCCAUUCAAAACCCUCUGAAGUCACAAGUGCAGAUCCCUCUGCUCUGGACUAAAGUAGGUAAUACGCAAGUAGCUAGAGGUUCAAAUUCCAGUUAGCACCUUCGCUGGUCAAGAAUUCAUCCAAGAAACUACCGAGUAGGAAGUACAAAUCAGAAAGCGAAGUAAAGCUUCAAAAGUCAAACAGAAAAGCUAUGCCUUAAAUAGGAGAAAACUCUUGGAGUUUCAGGUUAGUGACCACGUCAUGUCAAGGUCUUACCCUGGAAGGGCAUGAUAUGUUUCGGAAAGCAUUGAAUACUAAAUCGAAGGCACGUAGGAUCAAUAAAUUUCACCCUAUCUUUCCACAUCGUUAGCUUGAAAAAGUGUUGUCCAACAGUACCUUUGUUAUCCCACUCGAUUAAAUCGAGUUAAAUUAGAGCCUUAGUUUUGUAGAUGAAUCCAUAGAAAUCCUAUAUGGAGAAAGUAUCUGUAGAAACAUUAGACAGAGAAUUCUAGAGAACGAAAACGAAACCAUACCCCGAUAGUGAAGUUUCACUGUAAUUCAUAACGAGAACCUGAAUACACUUAAGAGCGAAACAAUCAAAUGAAACAUGAGUAUUCAUACUUUUCACAUUCAUCCAUAUGUAUUUCUUUGACUUAAUUCUAGGACGAAAUUACCUCUAACGGGGGAUAAUGUAACAACCCGUUACUUUCUAGCCUUUGAAGUCAACAAAAGUCAACCCAAGGUCAUUCGUGUUCAAUAAAAGUCAACUUAAAAUAACGUCAAUAAUUAAAUUGUUGAAUAUUCUUGUUUGGGUUAAAUAAACUAAUAGAUAUUGUAACAAGGUCUCCAAAAAUAUAAAGAAAAAUGAAAUCCGAGUUAUAGCAAAGAAGUUAUGACAAAUCGAAGAUCCGCGUCAAAACUGGAAAAUCAUUGUUUAACGUAAAACGUGAAUUUUCAAGAAUAUGCUUUUGAGCAUUAACAAUCUACAUGAAAGUCAUAAAAGACGUUGAACCGAGAGUUUCCUUAAAAAGAAAGUCUAAAUCUGACUUCGUAUGAAGAAAUUAUGAUUUUUCUAAAGUUUCGACACACCAGUAUACAACCCGAAACUCGAGUUCUAGUUUGAACAAUUUUUUGCGAAAACAGCCUAAACGAGAAUCGAAGGUCUCGUUGAUCAUAGUGCAACGAUAAAAAGACAGACGGAAACGGACGUCGGAUGAAGAAGUUAUGCAUUUAUCACGAUGUUUUUCCUGUCCCGACAUAGUAAAAAUAAUAUAAUAAAAAUAAAUUAAAAAUUAGCCGACGGAGUAUAAAUGAAAGUUGUAGAGCAUAGUCUCACCUACGUGUGGAUAUAAAGAACGCCAGAAACGAAGCUCGUAUAAAGAAGAUAUGUAUUUCUGAAGUAUUUAAGUAAUUAAAAUAUAUUUAUAAAAUUAUAAAUUCGGAUAAUAUCUGAAGAGGUGACGCAUCCGACCUGUUCAACCCGGUACGCCCUGCGUACUAGGAUUAAGCCCCGUGUACAUGUCGACACCGAGGUACGCCCUACGUACGAGGUAGUUACGCGUAGCGUAUAGCUGCAUUGCUCGGUCCAAAAGAGUCCACGUCGCCCCACCGAAGCCUCGACACCUGGCAGGCCCAUCCGAACUACGCGCCGCGUAGAGCUUCGUACGCCCAACAUACCUGAGAGGGUGCAACCCUAUAAAAGGCAUGCGAGACCUCCGGUUUUUGUUGCUAAUUUUUCCACUUCUUCACCUCUUUCUUUCUUCUUCUUGUCAAUUUAUACCCCCGAAGCCCCGCUAUCAAUCCCGACUUCCGAAGCAAGACCCGAUGUCCAAAAUUCUCGAAAAUCUAACUUCUCUCCAGUCGAAACUCUGACCGCAUAAAGCUCGAUUUUCAUCAGAAACUCGCGGUUACGUCAAGAUAGCUCAUUCCUAGAAACGAAAAGAUGCCCAAAUCACCAGUUAUUGGUGAGCUCAUAUCCGUAUGAUCUACAUUUUAAAUGAUUUUAAAUGCUUUAUAAGGGGGGAAUACAAGUGGAACACAAUCAUAUUGUGUUAAUAAUUCAUGUGAUAUCAAUCUCAUAAAGGUUCUUCUUAUGCUUUUAAAUAUGGAAUUUACAAUUAAGGAUUAUCAAUCGUUUCCAGAAUAAAUUGAAGUAAUAUAAAUUCUUUUAGAAUAACGUUAAACUCUUUUAAAUGUUUUUAUAACUCUUUAAACUUAUAAUUGCCAAAAUCAUGUUUAUAUAUGUUUAAAUAUAUAAAUAAGAUUUAAAGGGCUUAGGACUAAUGAAUUACCUUAAUUCCUUUUCCUUGUUUGGAUGUGGGAUUAAGUGGUGUUAUUUUUCUGAAGGUCGUUUCCUUCUUAAUUAUAUAUAUAUUAUACAUAUAUGAAUAUAAAAGGUUACUUCAUUCGGUAUCAUUACCUGUACUGCUGAACUUUGCUGAUAACCCUCUGGUUGCAGACCGACAACUCUCUGAACCGCUGCUCCACUAGCUCUCCGAGCUACUAAUAUCAAUAUAACACUUAGUUCCAAACUGAACUCUAGAAUUCAAACUAAACCAACUUUGGUCAAAGUGAAAGUCUUGGUCAAAGUCAACUUUCCAGUUGACUCGACUUGCCGAGUCAACCUAUAGACUCGCCGAGUUCUUAAAUUCAGAAACUUCUCAAAAUACGAACCAACUCGCCGAGUCACCUUAAUACCCAUCGAGUUCAACGAUAUCUGGGUCCCAGCCUAUCCAACUCAUUGAGUCACUACUCAAAUCACUAAUCUGCGUCUUGACUAGAAAAGGUCGAGGUUCUGCGACCAGACUCGCCGAGUCCAAGAACAGACUUGCCGAGUCCAAGGCAAUCUUCAACAAACUAGCCGAGUUGUUCAUCCAACUCGCUGAGUCCAUGCUCAUGUUCAUACAACUCGCUGAGUACACCCAUGUGACUCGCCGAGUCUCUCCAGUUCUCAAUCCAUACAGUGGCUUUUUGAGCCAUGCAGGGGCUCCAAUCCAUAGAUCCACUCUUCUACAAUCUAACCCUUAUGUAAAGUUGCAAACUUCACGUGAAACCAAGGAGAUAAAGGUCUAAAUCACUCUAGGGCUAGGGCGUAAGACAAAGGGGCUUUACCAACAACUCUUUGACUGAUGCUUUAUGAUAUUCUAGACCAAUACAAGUGUAGAUCUGGAGUAGCAACCUCAGAUCUAAACUCCAAACCCGAAAUAGAUCUCAAACACACCAAAAUGGCCCCAAAUAUCAUUCAUGAAUAGAUCUAGAUGCAAAAGAGGGAAGGUAACAACUUAUUACCUCCAAGAUGUGCCCAAACCGAAGUAGAUUCUGGAUCUACACCACUCUCUUGAUGCAGCCCUCUUGAUCUUCAAAUUUCUGCCAUAGAAACAACUUCCAAAGCUUCAAUCUCCCUCCAAAGGCCUCACACUCGCAAGCUUAGGGUUUUCUGGUUCUCAAGGGCACUAAAGAGGCUGAGAGAAGGAUAUAAAGUCCUUUAAACAGGGUGCAACCCUUGAGAUUAGGGUUUUCUCAUUCCAGCAUCAACUUGUCGAGUCCAACUUCCGACUCGGCGUGUUGGUCACUUAAUUCGCGACCCAAAACCCGCACCGGCUCGACGAGUAAAUCUACCUACUCGUUGAGUCCCUUCUUCAAUUUACACUUUAAUCCCUUAACUCAAACUUCUGAAAUUUGGGAUGUUACAAAGGAUCAUGUGGAAAAUGGUAACGUAGAUAUUCAUUUUGUAAGGACUACUGAUCAAUUGGCUGACAUCUUUACUAAGGCCUUACCUGAAAUAAGUUUAAAUAAAAUCCUAUAAGGCUUAGGAAUGAUGGAAGUUGAGUUUGUACCAAAAUCACUUUCGCCUCAAUAAAAGUUGGUAGCAAAAUAGAGUGAACGCUCGGUCCAUUUUGGGUUCAGUUCUUUUAGGAACCGAAAUGAACCGGUUCUUAUCUUCUAGUGAUGGUUUCUAUUAUAUAGUAUGUAUACUCUUCUCUCAUAUUUAUUUUAUGUUUUUCCUUUUUUUUCAUAAAAUCCCAAAAUAUUUUUCUUUCUGUUUUAAUUCUUUUUUCAGAAAAUCUUAUAAAAUUCAAAAACAUUUUUCUUUUCUGCUUUUAUUUCUUUUUAGAAACUUCAAAACUCAAAAAUAUUUUAUUUCAUUUUAUUGAAAUUUUCUUCAAUCUUAAUCUAAUUUGUAUAUAUGGACUAUUCACAAUGAUGGAGUAGGGGCAUGUAUAAUUCUUUAUCUAUGUACUAGCUAAGUGUCCCUAGAAGCAUGUUGUUGUAUGUUGACUCAAGCCUCAAAGCUUCUGAGUGAGGCCUUAAUGACUUGAUAAAAACCAAUCAUGUCUUCCCAAUUAGGCUGUCAAAUUCACUCUAAUCAUGAGCUACCAUACUCUUCUCCAAAUUGAGUUAAGAGUUUUUCUACGUGGUCCUAUUUUAUAGCAGUGGUACAUUUGUUCUUUAACCACCUCAAUUUUUAUUUUGAGAGAUCCAUAUGAUAGUGUCUAUAACCAUGACUUUUCUUCCCAUAGGAUCCAAUUUUUAUUUUUUCAUUGAGAUUUUUAAUUAUCUUUUGUCAACAAGUCACUGAAUAUGUUCCAAAAGUAGUUGUUUAACAGGCCUUAUUGGUCUCACAAGUACUUCUUUCUAUUUCGGUCUUAUGUCAAGUACCAAAACCAGAAUUGAAGCAAAAGCCACCCUUAAUAGCAGUAUAUAUCAAAGAUGCCUUUCAAUGCUUCUCAACAAGUAUUUGAUUGUAAUUCAAUGGGAAUCCAAACAAGCAUUUUGAAGUCUCUCUUGACUUUGAAGGAAGAGAUUUGUGCCCAUGAUCCACUGCUUUAUGAAUUAAAUGACAUCACAAAAUCCCACAAAUAGUUUGAUUUAUUUCUUUAACUUUGACACUAUCUUGCACGAAAAUCUCGAAUUUUCCAAAAGUCUUGUUCGGUUCAUAAAUAUAUAGCUUCGGUUCCUAACGGUGUAAUGUAGUAAUUUCCAAAUGAAGGGAUGCGUCGUAUAAAGCCUUUGUUAAUUAUGACGAUAAAGUUUCAAGCAGUGGGUCAGCAGGAAGUCUAAUCGAUUCUUAAUCAAAAUAGGAUAAGUAUGGAAAGGCCCGUGAAUUUGAACCGUUACCUUAUCGUGCGUCAUCAGCUGCUUUAUCGGGGUUGCCAGUGGUCCAAUCACGCCUUUUUAUGCAUCGUUUCCCAAAUUAGAGGAAUCAUUGCUCGUGAUUUUUCUCUCUCUAACAAAAUUGUAUAUAAGGGUUUCGAUUUCCGUGGUAUUAUUGUCUACCACUCUUCAUCUCUCUACAUCAAAAUAAGUUGAUUUGGUAUUCACUGUUCAUCUUCUUCUUCAUCAAGCUUCGACAAUGGCAAAAUCUUCUUUUGUUCAAGAAACCUUUACACACUCCAAUCUUCUCGCAAUGAAGCCCAACCAGAACUUGCUGAUUGAUCUCACACCAUUCCUCUAUGAUACAUACAUGUAUCACGUGGCGGAAUGUCUUAAGUAUUUGCUACUCAUCAAAGCAUUAUCAACGGUGGAUGUUGUACCAAUGGCGUGCCUUUCUCAACUCUAUUCCACUGCAACUUACGACAAACCUUCAAAAAAGAUUUAUUUUGGCAUUCUCAAUUAGAAGGCCUCAAUAUCCAAGAAUCGAUUUUACUCGCUGCUAGGGCUCACUUAUGAAGAAUCCAUGGUGAAUCUUGAUUCCAUCUCUACAGGUCAGCUUUUCUCAAUGUUUUAAAACAUGGGGUACACUGAAACCCUUACUACUAUGAACAAAUUUAAGAAAUCAUGCCCUCCUCCUCCAUGGAAUGGCCUCUUCACCCUUCUUUUUAAAGGACUUUUACAAAGAAGUGCAGGAUCAGAUGGCGCUAGCAAGUCUUUCAUGACUCUGCUUUAUUGGUUAUACGAUGGUAUCAACCUUGAUUAUGGUUCAGUAUUAUCGCUUAAGCUUGUCAUAACUUUGUCUUCUGCUUCUCGCCACACAUAGAUUUCCUGUUCCCGUUUUUGGACCAUUAUCACUCAAUGGAUUAUGGAGCGUUUUCAUGUUCCCAUUAUGGCUGAUUCACUUCUCCCCUUCAUUGCUACAUUUCAUACCACAAAUAUCAUAGUCACUCAUCCCUCGAAAUUUCACUUUGUUGGCUCUAUCCCAGAGUCAAUGUAUGCUUAAGUGUCUCAUGUAAGCAAGCUUACUCAAGAGUACAAGAAGCUCCCCUCUUUUGGUCCAAUAAAACUUACACCUGAAAUGUUAAAGUCUAUUGAAGAAGCAGACAAACCUGCUAAUAGGGGCAAGAAGCCAGAAGCAAAAAAGGGAGAAAAAGGGGGGUAGAGUAUCAAAGGUUCACUCUCCAAAGAAACAAAAGUCUGAGAAGGCAACACCUUUCCAACCCUAGCAGAAGAAGGUCAAGAAACCUGCUCGGAAGCUUAUUCUUCAAUCAUCAAGCGACUCUGACUCUGAGUAUGUGCCUACUGGUCAUCAACCCAUCAUUCGUAGCGAAUCUGAGAGUGAAAGCUCAGAUGAUGAAGAUUCGGUUCGUGGUGGCUCACCACCUCGCCCCCCUAUGCCAGAGGUUUCUGUUUGCUCCCAAGCACCUUCUCCUCCACCUUUUUCCAUUCCUAUUUCCUUACCUCACAAUUUCCCAAUAAUCACAUCUCAACCUUCCUCUACCAUUCCCAUUCCUACACCUAUUUUCUUUGAAGCUACAACCACCAUUACAGGGUGCUGCAGCGCAAAAUGCCAACACGGUCAGUGCUUCGGUUAAGACCUUAACUCAAUCUCUUCAACAAAAGAAAGAUCUCUUUGAGGUGCUUCGCCAGAACCUCUGUUCUGGUCAAGUCAAACAUCAAGCUUCGGUCUCUGAACGUUUAAAUGAACUUCAGGGAUAUCUUGCCUUGGAAAGCAGGGUGAUGGAUGAACUUGCUCUAAAGACCACUCAACUCAAAACCCAGACUCUCAAGCUUAAUCAAGCAAACAAGGAACUUGAAGCACUACGUUCGGAGCGGUCUGUGGUAAAAAGCUCUGUUGGUAAUGUUCAUUCCAUUCUUCUCCAUCUUCUUGAAGCCUACGAUUCGGUUCUUACCAUCUUAGUUAGACAUCAUUUAGCUGAGAAAUUACGGCCUGCUCUUGAUAUUUUAAGCCGGAUAGAGGGUGUUACAGAGUCCGUUGUCUCUCCGCAACAUGGGGGAGAAGAAAAAAAGACUUCAUCCUAACCACCGAAACCUCAACACCCGAAACCACAACAACCAAAAGUGGUUACCGAACCGAAAGGGAAAGAAGCUUCGGGUUCUGGUGUGAAAGGAUAAGGGAAAAGAAAUUAUUGAUAAUAAUGAUGAUGAGGAUGACGUUGAUGUUAUUGAAGAAACGGUUCCUAAACCAAGUCCACUCAAAGCCAAGCCCACUACUCAGGAGAUUAAGGAAAAAGUCACUGAAGCGAUUAAUAAGGAGAAUGAGAAGAGAGAAGCAAAUCUGCUUAAUCAGAGGAAAUUGAUGUUUCCUCUGUGGACGUUGGAAAGGCAUCAAAUGGAGGUUGUUGAAGCUGCAUGUUCAAACUGGCUAGAGGCUUAUCUUUCCUUCAAUGUCGAGAAUUCUAAAGAUUCUCAAUUUUAUAUGCCAAUCACUAGUAAGGCUAUCAUCUUUCACUGCUUUGAGCCUACGGUGGUGAUUCCUUCUCCUGACCCGAAGAUUGAUUAGACUUGCUUAAAUACUAUUAUGAAUUCUAUUAACCUCUGUACCUAACCUGGAGUAACAAAAAAAUGACAACAGUCAAGGUGCUGAAACCUACUAGGGAAGUUUAUUAAUAUCAAAUUCAAAGCGACCCGAGGAUCAGAUCGUUCGGUCCAUAUGAUUUCCCUUGUUGAUCUGCCAAAUCUGAAUCCACACGAUUGGAUUCUCCUGAAGAACAUCCUUCACUACAAUCAGAAGGAAUAUGAGCCCAUCAUCGAUCACAUCAAGCAUAUGCUAGUAUGUUACAUUCAUGAAGUGGCAAAGAUGGAUCAGGAAAUUGUUGCUGCUAUACGCAAGAGGCCCUUAAUCAAGCAAGUCGAGAAGGCAGGUGACACUAAGCUGAUGGUGAAAGAAUUAUUGAUCCACAGUCUCACAUUGUUAUGUUUCUUAGAGGCGAUGGUCAAAGGUUGUUAUUUGCUCUGGCUGACAAACAUCUAUUCUCUAAUUCUUGCUUGGAGCACAUUCUUGAGCUUAUCCAUGGAUGUGAUCAAAACAGUGAGGCAGAGAAAAAGCUGAUUUCCGAUAUGCUUUGGUGGUAUAUGGCUUUCAGACAGACUCUUCUUGCAAUUAUUACAAGAGUGUUCAAGGUUGUGAAGCGAACUCCUCAACCUCCACUGAAGUGAAGUCUCGCCCCAAUUGACGCAAAGGGGGAGAUUGUUGGGUCCAGAAGUGUUGCGUCUUUGGGCUCGAUCUUUUGCCCAAUUUUGUUAUCCAGUUUGGGUCUGUCCAACCAUGUUUGUUUUUAAUAGGGUUUUAGUAUUUAAGGUGCAUGCAUACUGAUGGGUUUUGGUCAUAAGACAUCCUAUGUGCUCAUACAAACCCUAAUGCUUGGAUCUAGGUUUCUCUAUUGUACAUGCUAUGAUUCCAAGACUAUAAACCCUAAUUCUAGCAUAUGGAAAUUAGAAUUCACAUGUAAAUAGGUUUAAGAACAUACCUUGAUUGUUAUAUAGCAAUAACAAUCCAAUUCCUCCUUGAAUUGACCUUGGAAAGCUGAGAGUCACAAGUGUCACUCCUCUAAUGGCUAACAAACACCAUAAGCAAGUGGAGAAGGUAUAAAGAGAGAGGAGAGAGGUUAGAAUUCGUCCUUAGGACCUCUUGGGAAGGGUUAGACGAAUUCCUAAGCCCUAGGGGGUUUAUAUAAUUGUAAAGAUUAAGGUUUUAGUACUUAUCCUUAUCUAGUUGCUUGUCCACCAAGCAACCAUAAGAUAAGUCCUAGAAACCCUUAUCCUAGUCGAAUUCUAAGGGAUUUACACCUCAAAUUCGUUCACCAUAUAUAUAAGAUAAUCCUUACCUUAUUUUGUAACUAUCACAUAAUUACAAUUCAGCCCCUCUAGUUUAAUUAAUUACACUUGAUCACAAAAUUAAUUCUUAAUUAAUUAUUGACCAAUAUUAAUUAAACAAAUAUGAUUUCUCCUUUAAUAUAUUAUUCUUAUAACAUAUUAAUAAAUCAUAAUAACCUCUCUCUCUAUUUAUUUCUCCAAUCAAGUUGCUUUGGUGAAGGCAACCCAAAAGGACCAUGCACCAUCGGGUCAAGUACAUACCAAAAUAGUUAUGGACUUAGACACUAAUCCAACAGUCUCCCACUUGGAUAAGUCUAACAACUAUUCUGCGUAUGACUUCGGAUCCCGAUCUGCAAUCGUAGCUUUCCAAAGCCGCUGUCAACUCUGAUCAUAUCAGAUACGCGUGUCCUUAGAUAAGGGAUCAUAUAUUCCUCCAUUCUAGAUAUCAUAUGAGAUAUGAUUUCAAAUCAUUCUCUUUGUACUAUAUCUCGAUUUCCGAUUUAUGACGACUGACUAAUUGAACAAAUCAAAUUAGCCCUAGCCCGGCCGAGCAUUUACGUUUGUCAUCACUAAACCAUCGAGGGGCCCAAAGAUAUCGCUUUUAUCCUACUUUGGAUAAAAGGAACGGAUAAACUUUGAUACAAUGCUUGCUUGCACUCACUCACCGAAUCACACACAACAAUAUGUUUUAUAACACCAAGUUACUAGUGCGUUUACAUAUUAUCAAUGUGCAACCGAUUUGCAAGAUACAACUCACACAUCUCGGUUUCAAGAAUAUAAGAUGUUAUCGUCUCACCAAUCACUCGUGAUACAAUUCAUGGAGUGAUCCAAGUGAGCGUGGGUUUAAUCCAAUGCUCAAAUCACAUUCAUAAGCACUCAUGAACGUUGCAGCAAACAUUUGCUUAUGUCUAAUACUCUUUUAGACAAUCCACACACCAAUUCACGACAGUCUUCAUUCAUAUCUACUUCCAACAUAUGAACGACUGUGGCCCGUUUGAAUAAUUCGAUUAUUCUUAAUAAACUCAAUUAUUCUGGAAGUCAAAACAUGCAAAUGUGAAACACAAGAAUAAUACUAAUCCCAUAUGGCCUCAAACCUUUGAGUAUAAAUAAAACACCUUUUAUUUAUCACCAU